UACGGAGGAGGCAAGCGUUAUCCGGAAUUAUUGGGCGUAAAGCGUCCGCAGGUGGCUAUUCAAGUCUGCGGUCAAAGACUGGGGCUUAACCCUGGAAAGGCCGUGGAAACUGAAGAGCUAGAGUGCAGUAGGGGUAGAGGGAAUUCCCGGUGUAGCGGUGAAAUGCGUAGAGCUCGGGAAGAACAUCGGUGGCGAAAGCGCUCUGCUGGACUGCAACUGACACUCAGGGACGAAAGCUAGGGGAGCGAACGGG
Molecule: ribosomal RNA, 253 nt
Filed under: uncultured bacterium
Lineage: Bacteria
Description: partial 16S ribosomal RNA
Rfam family: Bacterial small subunit ribosomal RNA
Source: RNAcentral